Non-coding RNA from Meleagris gallopavo (turkey), 2220 nucleotides. Lineage: Eukaryota; Metazoa; Chordata; Aves; Galliformes; Phasianidae. The record is from RefSeq and is a predicted model, not a curated record.
GGAAGGCUCUCUUUCUGGAGAUCCUUCUUCUGUGUAAUCUUUCCUGUGAUCCUAGAUCUUUGGAUACAGGUGACUGGGUGGAUUGCAGAGAAUUGCGAAGGUAAGAAGUUACUGUGAAAGAAGAGGAUUUACUCCAUCGCACGCCUGUUUAGCGUUGUAUUCUCUACUUUAAUCAGAUUCAGAUGUCUUCAAAAUGUUGUUCAGAUUCAUGAGAUGGUCUUCUGCUUGAUUUUGCCAGGGUGGAAUUGAAGAAAAAAUGUCCACUUUGGAGGAACUGAUGCACCUAACCAUCACACAAUGAACUGGCGACCUUUACCGGAACAUCUGCUUCAAGUACAAAAGGGGCAAUUUACAACAAUCUUUGUGUAACCAAAUUAUCCUUGUUAGAUGGUAUGGUUGUGUGAGACCUGAUUAAGGGAAUGUUGGACAGUAAUGUUGGUACCAACUUUAAAGGCACAACUAGCCUUCUCUGAUCUGCCUGUUGAAUAGACAGAACGAGGCCAUAGUCAGUCUAAUCUAUGGAAUACUUGGAAUAAUAUAUGCAAAAAUCUAUGAAGUGUCAGGAAAGAGCCAAUAUACUUGACUUCUCUGGAUUGGUAAAAAGAAUGCAAAGAAGAAAUUUUAGCAUCUUUAGCAAAGGAAAGGCUGUAGUAGAAUAUGUUGUAUCUCGUGUGGCAGCAGUCAGCAUGUUAUGUGUAUAGUUGUGUCUUACAAUUGUAAAAUAAGCACUUAUUGGAUUUUGAGAAGAACCUGAGAGUAUUGAGCUUUAUAAGACUCAGCGUUAUCAAUUUCUUCAACAGAGGUUUGGUUUAUUUUGUUUUGCUUUUAAAUAAAAGUCAAUAGUCUCUAAGGUCCGUUUCAAUACAGAAACAAAGAAAAAUCUUAUUCUGUUGUGCUUUUCAUGAUAGAAAACUAAUUCCUACUAAUAUUGCUCUUAUCCCAACUGUAACUUCAAGCAAGAUAGAUGAGAUAAAUAUGUUGACUUGUGUAAUGUGAUUCAAGAUGCCAAAAGCAGUGCAGGAGAUGUGGGAUAUAGCACCUAGAUGUCUGGAUAUAUCCUCCCUUCUGGUACUCACCUUUACUCCUCACAUAAUGGGAUAUUUCCAGGGGAACCUAUAUCUUCUCAUACUAACAGAAAAUAACUAAUGAGGUUCAGAAAAUGACUUUCUAUUUAGGAAUCUGUCACAUCAAACAGAUUUUUAAAAAUGAUGUAUUUAAGAUUGGAUAAUAAUCAUUUGAAUAAUAUGAAUCUCAUGCAGAGAUAGAUCAGUGAAGAAUGAAGGCCAGACAAUGAAAUUCAGUUUGUGCAUUUGUGAAACAGACACUUUUGGCUUCUCUUCCCUUACCUUUUCAUCUGAAUUCUGAUGGCUUAGAUUUGUAUGAAAGUGUCAAUCUGCUUUUCACUGUGAGGGAGGACUGUUUGUUUCCAAAGAACAAUUGUCUCACUCCAAUUUAUAGAAGGGAGAGGAGAUUCUUUUAAUAUGUGUAUACCCCACGAUGAGACUAAAACACAAUGAGGCACCUACAGAAUACCUCAGUAAGUAUCCAUUACAGUGUAUUUUGACUAUGCAGUGAAAGAUUGUGUUGGAUUUAGUCAAUUCGUAGGCGCAGAUGGAGAUACACACUGUGUACUGCUUUGCCUUAGAAGUGUCAAUUCCUUCUAAGUGUGGCAAUUCGGUGCAUGCAAACUAUAUAUCAGAUUAGAAAACAGUAUGAAUUUGGAAAAGAACAAAAAGAACAAACAGGUACCUUCAAAUUAGGCAGGUGCUGUGUUAAAACUUUCAGGAAUGUAGCUUUGGAUUUGUUAUUUCCAUCAUAAUUUUCAAGUGGGUGCCCUGGAUUACUGGAACUAGAUUCUCUGAUAGUUCAGGCCUACAAUCUGUAUUUUAAUGUCAAAAUGCUUAGACCCAAGUUAAUCUAAACCAGGAUCUUUUUAUUUCCUGAAUACUGUUUCAUGUUUUCUGUUAGAUAUGUACCUCAUCAUGGCUCUUGAUGAUGUCCUGGGAAAUUAAAAGCCAAAAUUGCUGAGUUCAUAUUGGUGUAAUGUGCCGUUUAAGAUAUUUCAUCUUCUGCAUAUGAAGCAAACCAGACUUUCCAAACAAGGAAAGGAGAGGAAAAGGAGAAGAUAUUAAUUUGAAUCUUACUAAGAAACUCAGGUGAAUAAGUGUGUCAGUCAGAAAAGGGCAAAAUUAAUGGGGAAAGACAUUGGAUAUUCGAGCU